AGUCAGCUUUCCUGAGGAGUGGUCUCCUGGC
Molecule: non-coding RNA, 31 nt
Filed under: Mus musculus (house mouse)
Lineage: Eukaryota; Metazoa; Chordata; Mammalia; Rodentia; Muridae
Source: RNAcentral